This 1380-nucleotide ribosomal RNA is filed under the name Triticum aestivum (bread wheat). RNAcentral's name for it is "partial small subunit ribosomal RNA". Lineage: Eukaryota; Viridiplantae; Streptophyta; Magnoliopsida; Poales; Poaceae. The record is from RNAcentral.
AUGGAGCUGCAAAAUGUCAUCCUGCUCCUCUUGCUGACAAUCAACCUUGCUAUCGCCCAAAACACUUCUAGAGAAGAAGCACAGGAACUCCAUGUUGGGGUUAUCCUUGACUUGGGGUCCAUUGUUGGCAAAAUGGCACGGACCAGCGUUCCACUGGCUAUGGAGGACUUCUAUGCUGUUCAUCGGAACUAUAGCACCAAGCUUGUCCUCCACAUCAGAGAUUCCAUGAGUGAUGAUGUCCAAGCUGCAUCUCAAGCUAUUGACCUGCUAGAGAAUUACAAUGUAGAAGUCAUCAUUGGUCCUCAGAAAUCUUCGCAAGCUAUAUUUAUCUCAAAACUUGGAAAUAAAAGUCAUGCCCCAGUCAUAUCCUUCACGGCAACAAGCCCAUCUCUAUCAUCUAAAACUCUUCCAUAUUUUGUGCGAGCAACAAUAAAUGACUCGGCACAGGCAAGAGAAGUAGGGAUGAUGAACAAAGGAUAUGCAUGGAUCAUGACAGAUGGAGUAACCAAUCUAAUAGAUUCACUGAAUCCUUCUAUCCUAGAAUCGUUGAAUGGUGCCAUAGGCGUUGAGUUUUAUGUUCCCAAAACCAAGGAACUUGAUGACUUCGCCAUGAGAUGGAAUAUGAGGUUCCAGAUUGACAACCCAACUGAUCCACCAUUGAAAUUAAACAUCUUUGGACUAUGGGGCUAUGAUACAAUCUGGGCAGUAGCACAUGCCGCAGCAAAAGUUGGACUUGCAAAUGCCACAUUUCAGAAACCAGGUGCCACAAGAAAUUCAAUAAGUUUGGAAACCUUGGAAACAUCUAGUAAUGGUCCAAAACUGUUGCAAGCAAUCCUGCAGAAUAAAUUUAGAGGCCUCAGUGGCAAUAUUGACCUUUCAAAUAGGCAGCUGCAAAUUUCAACAUUUCGGAUAAUAAAUGUAGUAGGGAAAGGAUGGAGAGAUAUUGGAUUCUGGACUGCACAAAAUGAACUCUCGCAGCACUUAAAUAAAACCAGACACACAACAACACAUCUAAAUCCAGUUAUUUGGCCAGGAGAGUCCAUAGAAAUACCCCGAGGUUUUAAGAUUCCUGUAAGCGGGAAGAAACUUCAAGUUGGUGUGUGCACAAGUGGAUAUCCGGAAUUUGUGAAGGUCGAAAAGGAUCAUAUCACAGGUGCAACUAAAGCAAUCGGUUUUUCAGUGGAUGUAUUUGAAGAGGCAGUUAAGAGACUUCCUUAUGCAGUCCCUUAUGAAUAUGUCCUAUUUAGUACCAAGGAUGAUGGAAGUGCCGAAGAUUACAAUGAUUUUGUCUACCAAGUUUAUCUUGAGUAUGAAGAACCAGUUAUGGAUUUAUGGUACUCCCUCUGUUCACUUUUGAGGGCAGGCCUGGCGCAGUGGUGA